Molecule: unclassified non-coding RNA, 280 nt
Filed under: Gyoerffyella sp.
Lineage: Eukaryota; Fungi; Ascomycota; Leotiomycetes; Helotiales; Discinellaceae
Description: partial contains 5.8S ribosomal RNA, internal transcribed spacer 2, and large subunit ribosomal RNA
Rfam family: 5.8S ribosomal RNA (bases 1-71)
Source: RNAcentral
GUGAGUCAUCGAAUCUUUGAACGCACAUUGCGCCCCGUGGUAUUCCGCGGGGCAUGCCUGUUCGAGCGUCAUUUCAACCCAUCAAGCUUCUGCUUGGUCUUGGGGCCUGCGGUUUCGCAGCCUCUAAACUCAGUGGCGGUGCUAUUGAGCUCUGAGCGUAGUAAUUCUUCUCGCUAUAGGGUCUUCGUAGUUACUUGCCAGUAACCCCCAAUUUUUAUCAGGUUGACCUCGGAUCAGGUAGGGAUACCCGCUGAACUUAAGCAUAUCAAUAAGCGGAGGA